GUCACGCUGUAAACGAUGUCGAUUUGGAGUUUGGGGGCAUGACCCUUGGGCUCCGGAGCUAACGCGUUAAAUCGACGCCUGGGGAGUACGGCCGCAAGGUUAAAACUCAAAUGAAUUGACGGGGGCCCGCACAAGCGGUGGAGCAUGUGGUUUAAUUCGAUGCAACGCGAAGAACCUUACCUGGUCUUGACAUCCAUAGAAUCUUUCAGAGAUGAGAGAGUGCCUUCGGGAGCUAUGAGACAGGUGCUGCAUGGCUGUCGUCAGCUCGUGUUGUGAAAUGUUGGGUUAAGUCCCGCAACGAGCGCAACCCCUAUCCUUUGUUGCCAGCACGUAAUGGUGGGAACUCAAAGGAGACUGCCGUUGAUAAAGCGGAGGAAGGUGGGGACGACGUCAAGUCAUCAUGGCCCUUACGACCAGGGCUACACACGUGCUACAAUGGCGUAUACAAAGGGAUGCGAAGGUGCGAACUGGAGCGGACCUCACAAAGUACGUCUAAGUCCGGAUUGGAGUCUGCAACUCGACUCCAUGAAGUCGGAAUCGCUAGUAAUCGUGAAUCAGAAUGUCACGGUGAAUACGUUCCCGGGCCUUGUACACACCGCCCGUCACACCAUGGGAGUGGGUUGCACCAGAAGUAGAUAGCUUAACCUUCGGGAGGGCGUUUACCACGGUGUGGUUCAUGACUGGGGUGAAGUCGUAACAAGGUAACCA
This 708-nucleotide ribosomal RNA is filed under the name uncultured Enterobacteriaceae bacterium. Its description in RNAcentral is "bacterial SSU rRNA". It matches the Rfam family "Bacterial small subunit ribosomal RNA", at positions 794 to 1502 of the family's 1533-position model. Lineage: Bacteria; Pseudomonadati; Pseudomonadota; Gammaproteobacteria; Enterobacterales; Enterobacteriaceae. The record is from RNAcentral.